Molecule: long non-coding RNA, 335 nt
Organism: Brienomyrus brachyistius
Lineage: Eukaryota; Metazoa; Chordata; Actinopteri; Osteoglossiformes; Mormyridae
Exons: 3
Source: RefSeq, a predicted model, not a curated record
AUAGGAUCAGUUAACAUAAGGUAAAGAUAAGAUUGUAUAACAUAGGAUUAGAUUAAUUGUAAAUAAAGCAGUCCUCCUUAGAGGGGGGGUGGUGGAGGGAAUAUUUAAGAAAUAAAAAUAGGAUCAGUUAACAUAAGGUUAAGAUAAGAUUGUAUAACAUAGGAUUAGAUUAAUUGUAAAUAAAGCAGUCCUCCUUAGAGGGGGGGUGGUGGAGGGAAUAUUUAAGAAAUAAAAAUAGGAUCAGUUAACAUAAGGUUAAGAUAAGAUUGUAUAACAUAGGAUUAGAUUAAUUGUAAAUAAAGCAGUCCUCCUCAGAGGGGGGGUGGUGGAGGGAA